GGGGUAAGUAACAUUCGCUGCCUCCGUAGGCAAUGAUGAGCUUUGAGGAGAGUGGUAAUUUUAAAAAGGAAAUGUCUUCUCAUCAGCGCGUCCUUUGUUCCAAAUGUAUUCUGAAGGGAAAUCAGGAAAUGAAAGAAAGGAACAUUGCGUUUUGGUUCUGACUUUAAGGAAGGAGACGUGCCCACCGAUAGUUAUUAAUCAUCAGUAAUGUACUUAGAAACAUACGUGUCUUUAAACUGCUCUUCAAAGUUGGCACGGGGACCGAUGAACUGCGCUCCCUAGAAAACGGGAAGUUCAGAUCCAGACUUUCCCUUCCUUCGUCUUUCAAUACAGUGAUACCUUUUCGAGUCCUGAAGAAGUCUACCGCAAGCAGCGAGCAGAUAGUAUAGUACUCUUGGCCACUUUGGGCUAGAGAAUCACUUUGGUUUUUCCAGCCUCUACUGCCUUCAUUUCUGACCUGUGAUUUCACCAGAUGGCGAACAACAUAACUGUAUUUGUGGGGAAUACAAAGAUUUUGUGAAAAAAUGGCCUUGAAAAAAGAUGUCAGGAUGUUCUUGCAGCUUCGCAGAUGGCCAGAGGCAGGCUGGAAUAUGUAUGUGUGUAGUGCCCCAGUAUCCAUCAGCUUCUGAAAUACAAGUGAAAGCAGUAUUUCUCUUGCUGUUUUACAUCCCAGACUUGGUACGAGCAAGCACAGAUGUGUCUUUUGUGCAGGAGAGGGAAGGAAGAGAGAGCCAAAUGAAAAAUCCUGAAUGACAACAUCUCCAAGUAUCACAGCAGUACCUUCUAAAGCUGGAAGAUAAAGCUGAUGAGGUGGUUACCAUGGCUACAGAAGCGGCAUAUUUGAAUGAAAAUUGAUUUUAAGCUUUUAAAUGCUAAUUGCAUCUGUGAACAGGUGACAUUUGAAAUAUCUUUUUCUCCCUCCUCCCUCCCCCCAUAUGUUGCAGAGUAUAAUGAGUGAAAGAAGAGGGUGACAAAGGUGACAACACACUGUUAAAUUAGAACACUGAUACAGUCUUCAACACUAAAGUAUGUCACACCAUUUGCUUGUGUAGUAGUACAAGUAAUAAGUGAACACAUAUAUAGAUCACAGUGUCUGAGGAGCAGAAACUGUCUAGAACCCAAUUAAUAUAUUUUUCAUGGUAUUGUGAAAAAUUAAACAGCUUUAUUUAAAUUAAUCACCAGAACAAUUGUUUCUGGUAGCUCAUAAUAAAGAGGCUAUUAAAACUUACCAUUCAGAAACUGCUAUAAAUUCUCAGUGAUGAGGAAGCUUUGCAAAUGCCUGGAAUUAGAAGCAUUUCUUAUUUCACUCUGUACACUGGGAAAUAAAGUUGAACUUCUACACAGUAGUAGACUCAGACUAGGGAACCAAGAUGCUGUGUAGACUGGUGUUACUGUGCAACUGCUGCUAAUUGCUGUCACACCACUGUCUGACCACACUCAGGCUGUAGUUGCAGAAGACAUAGAAGGUGUAAUUUACCUCACUGUAAGCAUAGUUUUAAUAUGAUCUGAAAGCUCUUUAACUUGCAGUGGGUUACAUUCCACUUGUUAGCGCUUGCUUUUCGAAACACUCUUGAUAUGAUUACUGUUUAAGACAUGAUCAGUUGUAAUGCAGAUUUAUAUUUUGUUAAAUUAAUUGUAAAAUUGUAAAUAAAAAUUGUAAAUCUGUGAGGGGUUUCAGAUUAUUUUAGUUUUUUGUUUGUUUGUUUGUUUUUCAUUUUUGUUUUUUAAUAUGCAGUGUGAGAAAUCUGGUGGUUUUGGCUGUG
Gallus gallus (chicken) is the source of this 1763-nucleotide long non-coding RNA. The record is from Ensembl. Lineage: Eukaryota; Metazoa; Chordata; Aves; Galliformes; Phasianidae.